GGUUAAGCGACUAAGCGUACACGGUGGAUGCCCUGGCAGUCAGAGGCGAUGAAGGACGUGCUAAUCUGCGAAAAGCGUCGGUAAGGUGAUAUGAACCGUUAUAACCGGCGAUGUCCGAAUGGGGAAACCCAGUGCAAUUCGUUGCACUAUCGUUAACUGAAUACAUAGGUUAACGAGGCGAACCGGGGGAACUGAAACAUCUAAGUACCCCGAGGAAAAGAAAUCAACCGAGAUUCCCCCAGUAGCGGCGAGCGAACGGGGAGCAGCCCAGAGUCUGAAUCAGCUUGUGUGUUAGUGGAACGGUCUGGAAAGUCCGACGGUACAGGGUGAUAGUCCCGUACACCAAAAUGCACAGGCUGUGAACUCGAAGAGUAGGGCGGGACACGUGGUAUCCUGUCUGAAUAUGGGGGGACCAUCCUCCAAGGCUAAAUACUCCUGACUGACCGAUAGUGAACCAGUACCGUGAGGGAAAGGCGAAAAGAACCCCGGCGAGGGGAGUGAAAAAGAACCUGAAACCGUGUACGUACAAGCAGUGGGAGCACCUUCGGGUGUGACUGCGUACCUUUUGUAUAAUGGGUCAGCGACUUAUAUUCUGUAGCAAGGUUAACCGUAUAGGGGAGCCGCAGGGAAACCGAGUCUUAACUGGGCGUUAAGUUGCAGGGUAUAGACCCGAAACCCGGUGAUCUAGCCAUGGGCAGGUUGAAGGUUGGGUAACACUAACUGGAGGACCGAACCGACUAAUGUUGAAAAAUUAGCGGAUGACUUGUGGCUGGGGGUGAAAGGCCAAUCAAACCGGGAGAUAGCUGGUUCUCCCCGAAAGCUAUUUAGGUAGCGCCUCGUGAACUCAUCUUCGGGGGUAGAGCACUGUUUCGGCUAGGGGGUCAUCCCGACUUACCAACCCGAUGCAAACUACGAAUACCGAAGAAUGUUAUCACGGGAGACACACGGCGGGUGCUAACGUCCGUCGUGAAGAGGGAAACAACCCAGACCGCCAGCUAAGGUCCCAAAGUCAUGGUUAAGUGGGAAACGAUGUGGGAAGGCACAGACAGCCAGGAUGUUGGCUUAGAAGCAGCCAUCAUUUAAAGAAAGCGUAAUAGCUCACUGGUCGAGUCGGCCUGCGCGGAAGAUGUAACGGGGCUAAACCAUGCACCGAAGCUGCGGCAGCGACACUAUGUGUUGUUGGGUAGGGGAGCGUUCUGUAAGCCUGCGAAGGUGACCUGUGAGGGUUGCUGGAGGUAUCAGAAGUGCGAAUGCUGACAUAAGUAACGAUAAAGCGGGUGAAAAGCCCGCUCGCCGGAAGACCAAGGGUUCCUGUCCAACGUUAAUCGGGGCAGGGUGAGUCGACCCCUAAGGCGAGGCCGAAAGGCGUAGUCGAUGGGAAACAGGUUAAUAUUCCUGUACUUGGUGUUACUGCGAAGGGGGGACGGAGAAGGCUAUGUUAGCCGGGCGACGGUUGUCCCGGUUUAAGCAUGUAGGCUGAUUGUCCAGGCAAAUCCGGAUAAUCAAGGCUGAGGUGUGAUGACGAGGCACUACGGUGCUGAAGUAACAAAUGCCCUGCUUCCAGGAAAAGCCUCUAAGCAUCAGGUAACAUCAAAUCGUACCCCAAACCGACACAGGUGGUCAGGUAGAGAAUACCAAGGCGCUUGAGAGAACUCGGGUGAAGGAACUAGGCAAAAUGGUGCCGUAACUUCGGGAGAAGGCACGCUGGUGUGUAGGUGAAGCCCCUGCGGGUGGAGCUGAGACCAGUCGAAGAUACCAGCUGGCUGCAACUGUUUAUUAAAAACACAGCACUGUGCAAACACGAAAGUGGACGUAUACGGUGUGACGCCUGCCCGGUGCCGGAAGGUUAAUUGAUGGGGUUAUCCGUAAGGAGAAGCUCUUGAUCGAAGCCCCGGUAAACGGCGGCCGUAACUAUAACGGUCCUAAGGUAGCGAAAUUCCUUGUCGGGUAAGUUCCGACCUGCACGAAUGGCGUAAUGAUGGCCAGGCUGUCUCCACCCGAGACUCAGUGAAAUUGAACUCGCUGUGAAGAUGCAGUGUACCCGCGGCAAGACGGAAAGACCCCGUGAACCUUUACUAUAGCUUGACACUGAACAUUGAGCCUUGAUGUGUAGGAUAGGUGGGAGGCUUUGAAGCGUGGACGCCAGUCUGCGUGGAGCCAACCUUGAAAUACCACCCUUUAAUGUUUGAUGUUCUAACGUUGGCCCCUUACCGGGGUUGCGGACAGUGUCUGGUGGGUAGUUUGACUGGGGCGGUCUCCUCCCAAAGCGUAACGGAGGAGCACGAAGGUUAGCUAAUCCUGGUCGGACAUCAGGAGGUUAGUGCAAUGGCAUAAGCUAGCUUGACUGCGAGCGUGACGGCGCGAGCAGGUGCGAAAGCAGGUCAUAGUGAUCCGGUGGUUCUGAAUGGAAGGGCCAUCGCUCAACGGAUAAAAGGUACUCCGGGGAUAACAGGCUGAUACCGCCCAAGAGUUCAUAUCGACGGCGGUGUUUGGCACCUCGAUGUCGGCUCAUCACAUCCUGGGGCUGAAGUAGGUCCCAAGGGUAUGGCUGUUCGCCAUUUAAAGUGGUACGCGAGCUGGGUUUAGAACGUCGUGAGACAGUUCGGUCCCUAUCUGCCGUGGGCGCUGGAGAAUUGAGGGGGGCUGCUCCUAGUACGAGAGGACCGGAGUGGACGCAUCACUGGUGUUCGGGUUGUCAUGCCAAUGGCACUGCCCGGUAGCUAAAUGCGGAAGAGAUAAGUGCUGAAAGCAUCUAAGCACGAAACUUGCCCCGAGAUGAGUUCUCCCUGAGACUUUAAGUCUCCUGAAGGAACGUUAAAGACGAUGACGUUGAUAGGCCGGGUGUGUAAGCGCAGCGAUGCGUUGAGCUAACCGGUACUAAUGAACCGUGAGGCUUAACCUU
RNAcentral lists this ribosomal RNA (2902 nucleotides) under Klebsiella pneumoniae. RNAcentral describes it as "23S ribosomal RNA". It matches the Rfam family "Bacterial large subunit ribosomal RNA". Lineage: Bacteria; Pseudomonadati; Pseudomonadota; Gammaproteobacteria; Enterobacterales; Enterobacteriaceae. The record is from RNAcentral.